AGUGAACGCUGGCGGUAGGCCUAACACAUGCAAGUCGAACGGCAGCACAGUAAGAGCUUGCUCUUACGGGUGGCGAGUGGCGGACGGGUGAGGAAUACAUCGGAAUCUACUUUUUCGUGGGGGAUAACGUAGGGAAACUUACGCUAAUACAGCAUACGACCUACGGGUGAAAGCAGGGGAUCUUCGGACCUUGCGCGAUUGAAUGAGCCGAUGUCGGAUUAGCUAGUUGGCGGGGUAAAGGCCCACCAAGGCGACGAUCCGUAGCUGGUCUGAGAGGAUGAUCGGCCACACUGGAACGGGGACACGGUCCAGACUCCUACGGGAGGAAGCAGUGGGGAAUAUUGGACAAGGGGGGCAAGCCUGAUCCAGCCAGACCGCGUAGGUGAAGAAGGCCUUCGGGUUUUAAAGCCCUUUUGUUGGGAAAGAAAAGCAGCAGGUUAAUACCCCGCUGUUCUGACGGUACCCAAAGAAUAAGCACCGGCUAACUUCGUG
This 492-nucleotide ribosomal RNA is filed under the name uncultured bacterium. RNAcentral describes it as "partial 16S ribosomal RNA". It matches the Rfam family "Bacterial small subunit ribosomal RNA", at positions 29 to 507 of the family's 1533-position model. The record is from RNAcentral.